UACGAAGGGGGCGAGCGUUGUUCGGAUUUACUGGGCGUAAAGGGCGCGCAGGCGGCUCAUUUUGUCAGGCGUGAAAGCCCCGGGCUUAACCUGGGAACUGCGUUUGAUACGGAUGGGCUAGAGUUCGGGAGAGGAGAGUGGAAUUCCCAGUGUAGAGGUGAAAUUCGUAGAUAUUGGGAAGAACACCGGUGGCGAAGGCGGCUCGCUGGACCGAGACUGACGCUGAGGCGCGAAGGCGUGGGGAGCAAACAGG
Molecule: ribosomal RNA, 253 nt
Filed under: uncultured bacterium
Lineage: Bacteria
Description: partial 16S ribosomal RNA
Rfam family: Bacterial small subunit ribosomal RNA
Source: RNAcentral